UCAGAUAUGAUGUAGCUGGAAACAUGGCCUCGUAAUUUGAUGCAGAAUUCGAUCACGUCAUAGAGGCAGUCCUGGGUUCGAAUUCCAGUAUCUGAA
Molecule: non-coding RNA, 96 nt
Organism: Mycena crocata
Lineage: Eukaryota; Fungi; Basidiomycota; Agaricomycetes; Agaricales; Mycenaceae
Source: the annotation of a GenBank genome assembly